AUUGACUGAGUGGCGGACGGGUGAGUAACGCGUGGGUAACCUGCCUUGUACUGGGGGACAACAGUUAGAAAUGACUGCUAAUACCGCAUAAGCGCACAGUAUCGCAUGAUACAGUGUGAAAAACUCCGGUGGUACAAGAUGGACCCGCGUCUGAUUAGCUAGUUGGUAAGGUAACGGCUUACCAAGGCGACGAUCAGUAGCCGACCUGAGAGGGUGACCGGCCACAUUGGGACUGAGACACGGCCCAAACUCCUACGGGAGGCAGCAGUGGGGAAUAUUGCACAAUGGGCGGAAGCCUGAUGCAGCGACGCCGCGUGAGUGAAGAAGUAUUUCGGUAUGUAAAGCUCUAUCAGCAGGGAAGAAAAUGACGGUACCUGACUAAGAAGCCCCGGCUAACUACGUGCCAGCAGCCGCGGUAAUACGUAGGGGGCAAGCGUUAUCCGGAUUUACUGGGUGUAAAGGGAGCGUAGACGGUAAAGCAAGUCUGAAGUGAAAGCCCGCGGCUCAACUGCGGGACUGCUUUGGAAACUGUUUAACUGGAGUGUCGGAGAGGUAAGUGGAAUUCCUAGUGUAGCGGUGAAAUGCGUAGAUAUUAGGAGGAACACCAGUGGCGAAGGCGACUUACUGGACGAUAACUG
Molecule: ribosomal RNA, 638 nt
Filed under: uncultured Lachnospiraceae bacterium
Lineage: Bacteria; Bacillati; Bacillota; Clostridia; Lachnospirales; Lachnospiraceae
Description: bacterial SSU rRNA
Rfam family: Bacterial small subunit ribosomal RNA
Source: RNAcentral